UCCGAUAUGGUCUAGUGGCUAGGAUUUGCCGCUCUCAUCCAACUUCACAGCUUGGAAAGCGCCGGCAAGGCCCGGGUUCAAUUCCCGGUGUCGGAA
Non-coding RNA from Sporormia fimetaria CBS 119925, 96 nucleotides. The record is from the annotation of a GenBank genome assembly. NCBI's taxonomy places the organism in Eukaryota, Fungi, Ascomycota, Dothideomycetes, Pleosporales, Sporormiaceae.